This 88-nucleotide transfer RNA is filed under the name Alphaproteobacteria bacterium. RNAcentral describes it as "tRNA-Ser". It matches the Rfam family "tRNA". From Rfam's summary of the family: Transfer RNA (tRNA) molecules are approximately 80 nucleotides in length. RNAcentral also lists the same sequence under 1 other name. The record is from RNAcentral. Lineage: Bacteria; Pseudomonadati; Pseudomonadota; Alphaproteobacteria.
GGAGCGUUGGCAGAGUGGUAAUGCAGCAGAUUGCUAAUCUGUGAUCGGUAAUACUGAUCCAUAGGUUCGAGUCCUAUACGCUCCGCCA